Molecule: long non-coding RNA, 250 nt
Filed under: Physcomitrium patens
Lineage: Eukaryota; Viridiplantae; Streptophyta; Bryopsida; Funariales; Funariaceae
Description: long non-coding RNA (PPAT_LNC004686)
Source: RNAcentral
UUAUAAUUCUUUUCUACUGAACUCACAACCUUUCGAUAAAUAGUGACUGAAAACUUCCAUACAUCAUCAAUCUUUCACAACAAUUGAUAAACAAUGAUCCAUAAAUAACUUUGUAAAUCAAACAUUGAUUCAUUAAAUCGAUUCUCUUCACUAGAAUCAACACUAACACAAAAAAAAUAAAAAAACUAAGAAGAAGAGAUAGCACUAAGCUUAUCCCGACUCAGUACUAUCGCAAUCUGGCAUUUUCUUC